CCAUUGCACUCCAGCCUAGGCAACAAGAGCGAAACUCUGUCUCAAAAAAAAAAAAAGAUCAAAAUCGCUAAAAUGACUAGAAAUACAAUAUGAGAAAAAAUAUAAGAAAAAGUGAACACAAAGGUAUUAUGAGACACUCUAACAUAAAUAUCAGUUUUUGAUAGAUUAUAUAGAUCGUGAGUUCUCAUCACUUAGCUCUCAUUUGUAAGUGAGAACAUGCAGUAUUUGGUUUUCUGUUCCUGUGUUAGUUUGCUAAGGAUAAUAGCCUCCAACUUCAUCCAUGUUCCCGCAAAAGACAUGUUCUUGAAGAAGGAGGGUGGGAGGAGGGAGAGGAGCAGAAAAAAUAAUGAAUGGGUACCAGGUUUAGUACCUGGGUGACAAAGUAAUCUGUACAAAAAGCCCCCAUGACGCGAGUUUGCCUAUAUAACAAACUUGUACCUGUGUCCCUGAACCUAAAAGUUAAAAUAAAAUGUAAGUGAAAAAACAAUAAUAUAGAUCAAAAAUAAAGUCAGGGAAACUGUAAACAACAACAUUAGUUAUAUUAACACAUAUGCAUAAAUAUAUAAAAUGUAUAUGCACAUAUAUUUAUGUAUCUAAUAUAAUUCCCCUUCCUUCGUGGAAGGAGGCUGGGGCUACCUGAAAAACAGGCUCCAUAGCUUCUUUCCACUUGCCCAUAGAAUGCUCUCAAAUACUAUUAAUAUACUGCAUUAGAAAGAACAUCUUAAUAAAUUUAUAAAAGCUAAUAUUUAGACAACAUUUUUGCACUAACAUAUAGGUGACCUAUCAAUUAAAAAUGACAUCAAAAUUAAAAAUGUAUAAAACAAUAACUAGCAAUUACAAAACUCAUGCAAAACAUGAAUGUAAGAGGAAAUCAAAAUUGCAAUGAACAUUUAUUAGAAAAUAUUGCAUUCCUACACUACUACAAAACAUGAAAUUACUAAAUGUAUGCAAUGUAGCCAAGCCUUACCUAGAAGCAAAUUCAUAAUCUUAAAUGUUUUCCUUAUUGAUAAAAGAGAAUAAAAAUAAUGGAACCAAGCAUUCACCUUAAUUAUUUGGAAAAAGAAACAGAAAAAAAACAGGAGGAAAUAUAUAAUAGCAAAUAUAGAAAUCCAAGAACAAGGAAACCAAAAUACAAGUCCAAUAAAGUCAAUGAUUAAACCUAGGAUUUAAUCUUUAGAUUAAAACAAAUCUAACACAUACAAUUUGAAAAAAAUCUUUUAAAAUGUUGGUGCCCAACUAUCCUAAUUAUUAUUCUUGUACUCUCAACUCAUGAAAGUUCUCAGUGUCUCUCCUUCAGUAUAGUUCAAGGAACUCUGGUCUUCCCACUUUGAUCCAAUUCACCAGAGCAUUUCAAGCUGGCCCCAUGGUUUGACUACCAGAAGGCCUCCAAGGGAAAUAGGCCGCCAAGGAAAUGAGCUUCAGUAAAAGCUUUUACCAAAAAGCUUUUACCAUGACCUCCAUCUUCAUGGUAGGGCUGGUCUCAGACAAGAGAUAUGCACCAUCAGGUCUUUCCCCAAGACCAACGUCUGGGUGAAUGUAGCCCAAUAACAGGGGAGAGGGCUUUCCCUUGGUACAGAAGAGUAUACUCUGUAUGUUACUGUCCUGAUUUGCUCUCUACAAAAUGGGUGCUCAAUUUUUGAAGAUCGAGUCUUAGCAGAAAGUUGCUUAUUUUUGCCUACAUCAUACUGUCUCAACAGAUUUGGCUUCUUCUAUCCUUGUGUCAUCACUGAAGCACAGAAGCAUGGGUGUGAAGCAGGAAACUUAAAGACAACAGUAGAAACCAGAAAGCAGAAAAAAGGAACAAGAAAGAAGGCUUCCUGCAAACCCCAACCCUUUGAAUAUGUCCAAAUUCAUCAAAUUGUACAGUAGCAGCCUGACUGAAGUCUGCCCUGGGGACAAAUUGCAAAACCUAUAACCUAAGGACAGCAAGCCAGCUGAAAUUUUGAGAGCCACCUUACAGAGAACCUAACAGCAAAGACUGGAGAGAGGCUUCCAGCCAACAGCCAGCAAGGAAUUGAAGCCCUCAGUCCAAUAGCAGCAGUGAGGAACUGAAUCCUGCCAACAGCCUCGUGGAUGGGUUGCUUGCUGCCUGACUCUAACUCCUGCUACUACUGCAAACACCACUGCCAUGAAUAUCUUCAGCAAGACCUCCUUCCAGACCUGCACGAACAGUUGCGUGAAAUGUAUAUGCACAAAGGGAUUGCAACGGAAGACCUAGAGACUAGGGAAGAACUUGGAACAAUAAUCUCAGUUUCUUCAUUUCCUAAACUGAGAGUGUUGCUGUUUUUAAAUGAAGGUCGACUGAUUCACGCUGGGCUUCAGACAUGAGAGGUUAGGAGUAGAAGGCAUGCCUCGUUCAAAGAGACUGCGAAGUCGGAGAUCAAAGUGCUGGCCAAUUUGAUUUCUGAUUCUUGGCAGCACAGAGGCCACUGGAGAGAGGCAUAACCUUGCGUGGCAGUUGCACUGGAAUUGGAUUUGUCUCAGAUGUUUCAGAUGACUAAGUGCAAAUGUGAUGAGGAUGAAGAACUUCAUGAUGAUCCACUUUCACUUAAUCAAUGAAAACCAAAAGAACCUGCCUUACUAUGCACCUAUGGCCCAUCAAAGGUGAGAGUAGAAUCUGCCAUGAUUUAGAAGCAAACAAGAAAAAGUACACGUCAGGUGAGUAGCUGCUAGCUAAGAACUUGGGCAUUGGGGUCAGACAGGCCUGGGUUUAAAUCCUGGCCCUGUCAUUCUGGGGAAACAUGUUUUUGCUUUCUCCUCUAUGAAAUAGAGGCAGUGGGUAUCCUGAACAUGUCACCUUUACUUGUCCAGCUCAUCAGUCAGGGUUUGGUCAGAGAACUGCUGUAAACGUUAUGGGAAUAAGGGAUUUUAUUCAGAAUUAGAGCCUGCACAGAUGUAGAAGGAGGCAUGAAGCGGGUGUUGGAGGAUUGGUCACUAUGUAGUCCUGCAUCCUAAGUCUGUGGUGAGGCUGGACACAUUCAAGCUUGCAGGAGAAUUGGAGAAACGAAGCAACACAGCGAUGGAAGUGAGACUACUGAAGGUAAGCUUGGGAGGGGGUCCUCGACACCACCACAUCAGCGGAUCCACAGCUAAGUGAUUGGUGGUGGCCUGGGGUGCUGCUCUUUAGCAGGGAUGAGAGUGGAGCGGACAAGCUGGACUCGGAACAAACUGGGAGCAUCUGCAUCCAACCAUGACGGUCUGGCCAUGACAGUGGUUAGAGAGGAGUGGCUUCUGUGAAACUCUCACAGUCUCAAGUCUCCCACAAAUCCCUCUUUCAGCUAACUCUAAACUUGUACCAUAGAAGAAAUGGAUUCUGAAAACUUGGUCUCCAACCUUAGACAAAUUGAAUAAUAUGUCCUCUCCUGCUUCUUCUGUAACUGAAUUUGCAUUGGAAAGCAGGCCUGUCACUCUCAGACUUUGUGGUUUGAGUAGGGCUCACUUCAGCACCACCUUUUCCUCCUCUCAGUGCCAGGGACUGGCAUGAGACUCGGGCCUGGCCAACUGAAUGUCACACACCUAUGACCAUUAGUUGGCUCAAAGAUGAACUCAGGACACCAUCACAGUCAAUGAGACCCUGUUAGGGAAAUUUGUCAGAACCAUACAAAGAAAUAGCUCCACUUUUCCAGAGAGAUGAGACAUAAGCCUGGACUAACUGUUGUCCAACUUUCCAUCAAGAGAGACCUCUGAGAAGAUAGAGGAAAACUGGGGAAAGCGAAGUCUAAGGCAGGCAAGUAAGGGCAAGUCCAGUUGACAUCAUAUGAAUCACCUGAACCUAGAAAACAAGGCAUAGCUGGAUUCAAAGCCAAGAAAAAUUGGCAGCUGGCUUGAAUCAGUUUCUAUCACUUGCAGUUGAAAAGGACCAGACUAAUCCGAUAGAGUUAACAGAGGAACAAGUAAGCAAGAUUCUCCCCUACAGUAAGUGCUCAAUGCAUGUCAGCUGGUAUUAUUAUUAUACAGCCUUCCAUUUCUAGCCCUUUUAUUUCUACCACCUCUCUUCUGUGUUUUAUGUAAAGUGCAUUAAGGAUUGUUCUGUUUGGAGACAUCAAACCAUAUAAAAUGACACCAGCAGGUCCCUUUCUGUCUGUCAGUGUCCACAAGCUCAACAAUCAGGAUCAGCAAACAAAAACAGCUAAGCUGGAGUCAGUGUUUUUAUGAAGAAACAGGAAAAGAGCUUACUUAGGAAUUGUAGCUCAUCCUCCAAUAUUCUCCAUUCUUUUCAUGACAGUUUCUUCUUGGCCCUGAAGAUGCCUCUUCAUGACUCCCUGCCUCUGUCCUUUCUUCAUCUCACUUACAUAUUCCAACAAGGAGUACAGCAAGCCUUGGGAUGAGGACCUCCAAAGGUCCUCAGUAUCCUUAGGACACUCUGAGUGCAGAACUGGAGGGACUGAGAGGAGGAGCUUUUGCAGGUUAAAUGACUAGUAAAUGGCCUUUCUUUAUAUUUCCACUAGAAAUGAGAUUAGCUACACUUGAGAAGGAAUGACUUUGGAACAACUGAUCCCUAGCUUUCUUUGAGAUGCAGGGAGUAGUAACCACCUAGUUAAUCAGUGAAAGCAUAUUUAUAAAGUUCACAGGGUACAUAGCAUAUAGCAGCUGUUCUCUAUCUCAAUUGAGUUUUGACUAGGAAAUGGGCUUAGGAUAAAACACGUGGGCUUUCGAGUAAUCAUUUGUAAGUAAUUGUAGAUAGUGACCACAGUUUAAUAGCAUAGAUAUAUUAUGAAAAGUCACUGAAAUACCUUCUCUGGAAAAUGUUAGAAACUCAAGUAGAAUGGCUUAGUUAAAGGCGAGUGGGAGAGAAACUUGAAGAAUGCGGUCCAGUACAAGAAUACCCCAUUUUCCCCCCAAGGCAAUGAAUCCCUUUUCAUGCAUCUAGUGACAUGAAGUAAUCAUAGUUAUUUAUACAGGAACAAUUUAGGAGACUUAGAAUAUUCACUUCUUUUGCCUUCUAGCUGAGCAUCAAGAUUCUCUCCGUGUCUCUGCCUCUCUCUCUCUCUCUCCAUUUUCCACUUCUAGCUCCAACUAUUUUAAAUCCCUCCCCCAAUAGAGCCCAUAACAAACAUAAAACAACAUUUGUUUUAUGUUUACAGUAGAUGUUCAAGCUAAUAUUUAUGUAGGUAUAGCCCCAGCAUUAAAUUAAGGUUUGGUUCACCAAGAGGGUGCCUAGAGACUUCACCUCUAUUUCCAUGAGGGACUGAACAGCCUCUUGAGAAGGGACUCAUCAAAAUGGAAGAGUUGGCAAUAAGAAGUUUGGCUCAAUAACCAAGCACUGAAGUUGCAGAGGAGAAAGGAUUUGAAGGGCAGUACAACGUUCAGGGGCAAGUUGGCAAUUUUUAGCAGGAGCUGAAGUGAUGCCAGCAGAGGUAACAGUGCUCAGAGGGACCAGCAGUCCCCAGGAGGAGCAGGGGAAUCCCCAGUGGAUCUGAUUUGUUCGAGAGCCCAUGUGAGAUUAUCAGCUGGCGUUACAAUUUUGGAGUGGCAGUGAGAAGCAGUGAAUUUGAGGUCACUCAAUUUGCAGACCCCAAUGGGUGAAAUGUUGAGAAACAUGGGUUACAUAUGUAUUUGACAACUCUUGUGUAUUAUCACAAAUCCUAUUUCACCUCUCAUGCCCCCGAGGCUUUGGUGUCCAGUUCCCUGAAGACUUCAUCAAUCCUCAGUCACAAAUCACCUGAGAGCCACUCACCUUGCUCCAUACUAUGAAGCUCCCUGAUGUCACAACAUGGCGGGCCUGUGGAAACCCCUCUGCACUUAUGCAUGAUCCCAAACAGCUAGAGGAUUAACACCUACAGUGUAACCCUUGAGCAGCAGGAAAUGGAAAUUAUUGUCUUUUUGUCCCCCCAGGGGAACAGUUCUAAAAUGCAUUUUAUAAAGCUUCUGAAAUAGUUCCACAGGUCAAGCACCUACUUGCUCCAGUGGUGACCAACUCAGUGGUGCAUCCUUGGGUUGACUCUCCCUCGUUUCCAGUUCACUUUCCCUGCCCUUCACUUCUGCACCUCAGCAUCACAUUCCUGAAUAAACCACUCACACAUCUUUCUUAUUUCAGACUCUGUUUGGGGGAAUCCACAAUACAAAUUUGUUAUUUUGAGUUAAACAUUGUUCUCACCUUGAAGACAUAUUUCCAUACCUAGAGAUUUCUGACAUUCUCUCCCUUUUCCUACCAUCUCCUUUGUGCUUUCUCUGACCUCCAUAUUCCAGAACCCCAUGACAUUUAGAGCCAGUACUGCUAGGGAAAUAGUUCAGUUGUGUUUUAAAUGGUUCAGCAACUUGUAACAUCAACUGAGAACCAGGGGAAUACACUCGGAGGCCAAGAAAAAAAAUGUUAGUUAAUAUGUACCAUAGAGUAUGAUUCCUUGGGUAAGGGAAAGUUUAUGCAAGUGACAGAGGAAAAUUGAAAGUUGUAGCCCUUUUUUCAGAAUUUAUAUUUGGAAUUAAAGUUUCUCUUCUCUUGAAAGACCUUCUUUUUGUGAUGAAUCUGAAGCCCGGAACAGUUGGCCAAUUUGCCCUAGUUGAGAGUGGCAAAUAAAUGAAGAGCUGAAGAAUGUGUCUCUUUAACUAGUGCUCCUUGGUUGAGAAGAUACAAAAAAAAUUGAAGGGUACGGAUGAAUCCACUGGCUUUUUCACGUCUCUGUUGAUCAUAAUGAGAUUAAUAUAUAUAGGACAUUCACACAAAGGGGAUGUUGACUCGAUGGCUUACAGAUUAUUAGAGUUAGAAAUGUUACCUACUACUAAAGGAAGAACGUUUCAGGUGUGGAUCUCUGAUUUAAAAAAUACACCACACUUGCCUCAGUGAAGCAAGUCAACUUAGGUGCUGACACAAUGCCACUGCAGAUGCAGAUGUACUGAGUUCAUGAAAUCAGAUCCCACUCUCUCCACCUACCCCUACUGUAUUCAUCCUACUUUCCAUCUGUUCUGCCCUUCCCAUUUGGUAACCUAUUCAUGAAACACCUGGCUCUGGGUCCUUCAACAUCAUUCCAUGUUUUACUGCUAGCAUCACUUUUCUUGGCACAGAACCUCUUAGGGCUGCUAUCCUAGGAGUAGGUGCCACUCAGGCUGGCUUAGUCCCAGGCUUCACUCACUUCUUGGCCCAUGCCCUGGAGGACCAGAAAGAACAAACUCUCUGCACAACAUCUCUGCAUGUGACCACAGAGCCCCCAUCUGAGCCUUGCUGGUAGAGAAGAAUAUGCUGCCUCACAAGAUAACUGUGUGGCUCUGUUCAAAAACUUAGAAGUUAUUUCUUUUAUUGCAUUAGAAUUUGCCUCCCUGUAGCUUUUGUGCCUCUGUCCUGGUUCAGCCUUAGAUAGCAGUGCAGCCUGGUCCAUGUGAAAGCUCUUGCAAUAGGCAUUUCUGCUAGUCAGGAGUUCUCGGACCCAUCUCUACUCUUUACUUUUCUCAAGAUUAAUAUCAGACUCCUGGGUUCAAGGAGUCUUCAAGGUUUCCUCAUACCAUAAAAGUUCUAAGCCCUCCAUUGUCCUAGUCACUGUCCUCUCUGUUCUAUCCCUGUCUGCCCUUCCAAGAUGCUGCACCCAGAGAUUUUGUCCUUCCUGGGGCAAGUCACCAUGAGAUGUUUACUUUUGGAUCAUACUGAAUUUGUGGGUUAAAUAAACUCAUAGGUCUCUGUCUCAUGAACUAAAUCCAAAUUCCAUCUCUUGCCAUAAAUCGUUUUUUGAAUAGUUGAACAGUAAGUAAAUAAUACACAAAUGAAUACUAAUCAAUAUUUGAACAUCCUCAAUAUUUUCAGCCCUAGUUUGAGCCAGAGAUAGCUUAUCUUGUGUACUUCACUAAGGACACUUUAUAUUAUCAAGCAAUUAAUAUUAUGAUGAUGUUAUGAUGUCAUAUCUCAACAAGCCCCACAGUAUCACUUCCAGUCUCUUCACCACAAAGAACCCUGAAGCCUUCAUAUUUUUCUGAAAAUCAUAUUUCUAGCCACAGGAUGGGAUGUAAGAAAAGUUCAGAUUAGGAUUAUUCUAGGCUCCUGACUAUAACUAAAAUCCUGAUUUUUAUGGAAAGGAAUAGGGAUCAUUCCUUCAAAUUAGAUAUUUGUGAUAAAAAGAAAAAAGUUGGUAAUCUAUGCAAAUUUUUAACAAACAGAACUUCAUUUUCUUUGGAAAAUAGUAGUUGAACCCUUUUCUUAUAUAUGAAUUGGGGUGCAAUAGAGUUUAAUAAAAAUGAUGGGGAACACUCUUAUAAGGCUAAUUUAUCACAUUUCCUUCAAGGAAUUGUUCUUUCUAACGAAAUUGUGAAAUGGAACUCAACAAUAGCAUGAUGGGGCCUCUACCAGGAGGAGGUACAGAACAAGGCAGGAGGUCAGUGGUUAAAGGACUCCAUGCUUAUGCUCAAUAAAUGUGGAUCUUAUUAGACGUGACAUAUGAACGGUGCAAGGUGCCUCGAUGGCCUUCAUGGGGUCAUGAAAAGCUGUGAGAACACUGUGGAGGAUGAAUGCAAAUCCACAAUAUUAGGAUGAAUGUGAGAGGAGAAGGGAAGGAGGCCAUGAGGGAAAAAAUGACAUCUAAUUGGAUCUGAAAGGGAAGGUAGAAUUAAAGUAAAGAACACUGUGAACAUAUGGGAAUACCAUGUACUUUCUCAUGGAGAGAGGCCUUCCGAGAGUUCUGCACUGAUACCUCUUCUUUGACCAUCCCUUGUUAGCCAGCAGGUCAUUUGCCCUCAUCAGUUGCCUCAGUGCUGAGUGGUAGACUCAGCAGUCCCCAACCUCUUUGGCACUAGGGACUGGUUUCAUGGAAGGUAAUUUUUCCAUGGAUCAGAGAAGGGAUGGUUUCAGGUUGAUUCAAGUGCAUUACAUUUAUUGCACACUUUAUUUCUAAUACGAUUACAUUGUAAUAUACAAUGAUAUAAUUAUACAACUCGCCAUAAUGUAGACUCAGUGGGUGCCCUGAGCUUGUUUUCCUGCAACUAGAUGGUCUCAUCUGGGGGUGAUGGAAGACAGUGACAGACCAUCAGGCAUUAGAUUCUCAUAAGGCAUACACAACCUAGAUUCUUCACAUGGGCAGUUUACAAUGAGGUUCACGCUCCUAUGAGAAUCUAAUGCCUCUGCUGAAAUGACAGGAGAUGGGGCUUAGGUAGUGAUGGGGAGCAGCUGUCAAUACAGAUGAGUCUUUGCUUGCUUGCUUGCUGCUCACUACCUGCUGUGCUGCCUGGUGCCUAACUGGUACUGGGGUUGGGAACUCCUGGUAGACUAACAACAGAACAAAGCCAAGUCUCAAGGAGAGAGAGUUGUGUAGAUGCCUGCCUGCCCAGUCUCUGUUGUGGGGGCCAAAUCACCCAAGACCUGCAUUUAAUUCCUUAUGGGCUUAGGCUGUGAAUUCAUGUAAAAUCUCAAGAAACCAAGAUGACAGGCCAGGGACCAAAGAGCAAAAGACCAUAGCUAUGGUAGGGGAGGAGACAAAGUCAAUCCCACGUGGACAGAUGGUGAUGAUGCUUAUCAGUUCUGUUCUGUCAUUCCGUAAAGGUAAAAACUUGUGUUCUUUUUCCUAGCACAGUCCAGAUGGUAUUGGCUGUGAUUAAAGAAAAUUCAGACAUGUGUGGGUGUGGCUGCAAUAGACAUUCAUGAGGGCUUUCGUUUUUAUUUGAAAGGGGCAGAGUAAGUAUUUGUGAACACUGGAUGAUGAUAAAGAAAAAGAAAUGGUGUCUAGUAUCCUACCUGGCCUCAUGGACCAUGGCUAGAGGGGUUAGAGGCAAAGUCAAAGGAAGCUGCCACCAUAAAGGGCUCUGUGAAUGCUGUUUAGGUUGAAAUGUGUGACAUAGCACUGGGAAGUGUUUCACUGCAUUAGCUCAGGCCAUAGCACGACCCUUAACAAACUCCUUAAGGUGAUGGUCCCCUUGGCAUAAGUAUUGGGGUUAAAAUCGAGGUUAACCUUAGGAAUAGUAUGGUUAAGAUUCCCCUGCGUGACUUUGGAAGUUGAAGACUCUGAUCAGGAGAACUACAGCAGGAAAGAGAAAAUAUGACUGAGGCUAAGUGGUGACUUGAUAUUGACUGAUAGGUGAACACAGGAAUGAAUUUCAGCAAGAACCCCAAUGAACGUCUGGGGAGUAGAGACCGUGUAUGAGCAGGACGGAAAAAAAAAACAGAAGAUUCAGGUAGUGUCCUGUCGUGUGUCUCUUUUACAGUCGUGAAAUGAAGGACUUUCAGUGUUUUCAUUGAGCACCAAUCAAUUCCCUCUUUGCAAAAGACCAUAUUGGAAUAGCAUCAAGGUUUAGGGAUAUUAAAGCAAUACAAUGACACUGGAAUGACCACUGAGAACCAGCAAACUUCUUUAGCCCUUUUAUCCUCAGGCACUCUGGAAGCCAUGAAUCUGGUUUACUUGCUAAACUGUGUGUACUGCACAGAGUACAAUGGUAAAGCAACAAAGAUUGGCUCUAAAAUCUCUUGUAAAGGGAAGAGUGGUCAUCCCUUUAGAUGGCAAAUUGAGUUUCUAUAAUGGGGUUUGCUCUGAUGUCAAAUUUCCACUCAGGCAACAAGACAUUCUGUUGUUUAAAGCCCUAGAUGGGUGAUGUUUCUUUCACAUGCAAGGCCUGAAUGCUUCAUUGAGCUCUCUUUUAUCCACACACACUCAUUUAAACCUUUGUCAAAACUAUCCUUUAGCAUUUGCAUCUCCUGUGCAGGCAGAAGGGUCAAUGGGGAUAAUCAGGAGAGAUGAGGUGCACUUUCAGAAGCUGGAGCUGAGAAGGUGAUGGAAGUAUCUGUAAAGUCGUUGAACAGCUGCACAAACUAUAGGGGAAGAAUUUCAGGAAGCAAAAGGGGAAUAGCCCUUUCCUCUUAAACCAAAGCAGAGCACAGCUCCAGAGGCACUUAUAUGGAGAGUUCAAUGGAAUGUGAGCUCUAAGAGUGGUUGAGAAUCUGACAAAAACAGCCAUCUGCCAACCCAAAAUUAAAACUCCUCUGUUUAGCACCCAGUAGAGAAAGUCAACCAGAUUGAUUUCCCAAACAAAGAACCUUAAAAGCAUCACCUAAGAAAGUGUGUCAGGAUCCACAGACAUCCAGAGCAUUCUCUAUGGUUCAUUACUUACAUUAUUCCUGUCUAUUUACACAUAAUGUUUAGAUGUAAAAUCCUUACAAUGAAAAGGGUGUAUAUGCUUUUAAAAAAGGCACAACAGAGAAGAGUUGAGCAGGUGGUGUGCUGGCUCACAGAUGGCCUUGAAAAAGAGGGUAAUCCUAAGAAUUAGAAUGAGUUGGUGGUAGUUAAAUAGAAAAGAACACAGCAAACUGCAUGCCAGAGGCCUGCCAGUAGUUGAACUCUCUUGACCAACAACGGGCAUGUGUGUGUGCUUUCUAAUAUAAAUCUCUGCCAUCGUCCAGGCCAGAGGUAAUAAGCAAUGGAAUAAGGCAGUAGGAACAAAAAGUAAAAGACAGUGAGAUGCAAAACCAACUUGGGUCUAGGAACAAGACCUUAUCCAUUUCAGAAUCUAUGGUGCCUCGAUGGCACCUGGCACAUAGUAGAGGCUCUGUAUAAAUUUUAUUUGGCAAUGGGCUCUAGAGACUUUGGGGGAAAUGCUAAUGUGCAAAAACAUGUUUUCAUUCUUCAUAGGUGGGAGCUUCAAUUUUUCCUACUUGCUUGCAUAUGAUAAUGAAGAAUAAUAAUAGAAACUGAAAUUUGCUCAUUUGAGUUUCUCUCUACAGAGUAGGUAGAUUCCCAACAGAGUACCUAGUAUAUGUUUGCUAAAUUAAUGAAUGAAUAUGUGAAUGAAUAGAUGAGUGAAUCAAUGAACACAUUAAAGAAUGAAUCAGCAAAUCAAUGAAUGAAUCCAUCAUUUAGUCAAUGAGUCUUAUUCAUCUUCUUCUAGAUAGGCUUAUAUCUAAUGGAGUGAAAGAGCCCUGGACUUGGACUCAGGGUUUAUGCUUAAUGUAUUCCUUCCACAAAUAUUUACUGAGCACUUGAGCUGUACGCUAGGCUCUCUGCUACUACCAUGAUAUGAAAGAAUGCUAGAGCUAUAGUGCAAAGAAGACGAACUUCCUCUUUUGUAAAGAAGAGGGAAGACACAUAAUAAAUAAUAAUAAUAAUAAAUAUUAGUCCAGAUAGCCCAAGGGUAUGCAGAAUUGAGUACUCUUUUAUAGAGGGAGGUCAGGAAAGGACUCUCUGAAAGUGACAUUGGAACAGAAAUCUGCAUAAUGAGAAGGAACAAAAUUAAAGUCUAGGGUAAGAGCACUCUAGGCAGAAGGUACAGGAAGUGCAAAGGCCCUGAGGCAAGAAUUGGCCCAAAUUGCCAAGGUAGAGAAACAAGAAUGUGCCACUGUAGCUGGAACAAGCAGGGGAGGGGAGUAGGAUGCCAUAUAAGGUCAAAGCAGUAGGGAGGACUUCCUUAUUUUACCUGAUUAUGAAUUGAGACAAUAAGAACAAUAGCUCAUAGCUGUUGAGAGUUUACAAUGUGUCAAGCAUGAUUGGACUGUCUUACUUAAUCAUCACAACAACCCAACAAGACAGGCAGGGUGAUAUUCAAAGUAUUUCACCACUGGCAUGUCAUAGGCACCAACCAAUCAGAUAAUGUCAGCCUCAACUAUCCUCUAGCCAUAUAAGUGUAGACAGGCUUGAUCUCGGGUACCACUAUUUCUCUCACUUACUGGGUUAAAAAGGUGAGUUUAGAGAUGGGGUCAUCACCUCGGAAUUAGACAGCUGUCCAUUUUACCACAAACUAUAUAUUGAAAAUGGCAAGUAACCUACCUCUUAUAAAUGCUGCUUAGGGAGCUCAGGGGAUUCUUUAUGUAAUAUGAAAAUAAGUGAUGUCGGGAUUUACUAUCCAUACUAUAGAAGAAAGGGCACCAUGCUAGGAGUAUGAAAUCAUAGAACUACUCCUAGUACGAGACUUUGAGGAAAUUGCUUUACCUCUCUGGUUGUCGGAAAACUUCCAGCCAUGGGUAGUAAAUGGGGGGUGCUACUGGCAUCUUGUGGGUAAAAGCCAGGGGUGUGGCUAAACAUCCUACAGUGCACAGGACAAGUAGCACUACAAAGAAUCAUCAGCGCUGGGUUGAGAAAUCCUGCUAUUGAUCCCAGAGAGGUAACGGACAUUGUGAGGUGUGACAUUAGGGAGUGGUGGGGACUAGAGAAAACUUCAGAGUAUGCACAGUACAUUUGCUUUCUAAAGGCAUUUCAUAUAAAAAAUAAUUUGUAAACUUUGUGAACUGAAGAGAACACAUCUUCAGGCCAAUUUUGGUCUUUUAUGGCCUUAACCAGACUUGGUUGCCCAUAAUUUUCUUUAAACAGAUGAGGAUAAAAGUCUCCUAGUCCUGCAGGCAUGUGUGUAUGUGUGUGUCUGGGAGGGGAGGGGCGCGUACACAUAUAUACAUGCACACACAUAUAUGCUCUUAUACACAAACACACAAGAAGAUUUAUUUUUAAAGUGUUUUCAGAAGGUGAGGCUCUCAUCCCCCUUAGAACCCAGUCCUGGUUUUUUUAAUUCUGUAACUUUUCCCUCCUUCAGUUAUACCAGCCCCCUUCCUCUUAUUCUGACUUUGGCAAAGAUGAAGCCCAGCUCCUCUACUCCACUCAUAAGAGGAGCUUCUGGUUUUAGUUUUGGUCCCUUCAUGUUGCCUAAAGCCCCUGGGAAGGAGGCACCCUCACUCACAUUACUCCUUUAGCCUGUAGAGACAGAUAGGCUAGAAAAGACAGGUCGGCCCCACGUUUACGAUGUGCCCACAGAGUUAUUUAUGGUUUGUUUAUCCACUCAAUGCGGAGCAAUUAUGGCCUCUGACUUUCAGCUCCAAGGUGCAUUAACAGAUUUGGGGGUAAAUUUUCAGUGUCAAGCUGCAUAGUUGUACUGGGCGUUUCAGCCUCUCCCCAUAAAGCAAACACAGCAACAAUCCCAGACACUCAGGCACAGUGGCAUUUUUAGAGAGACACCAAUGACCCCAUUAGUCGAGAAGCUGUGGGAAAGCCUGAAACAGGUGAAAAAGUGAUGGAAUUAGGAAAGUGAAGUUCUCUGAUCGUCAGGCUCCGUGGAUGGGCACAAGUGUGGCAGACAUACUACAACAGAUGUGGACCAUGAGUUGGCACCAUGAUUUCAGGUACAGGAAAACCAAAGGUUGAUGAGGGCACCAAGGCAAAGCCUCCAAGGUCCUGUGGGCAUCAGUGCAUACUGCUGAAGGGUCAGUUCUGCAUCAAGGAAAUACAUUUCUGCAGUGAUAUAGGCAUUUGAAAACCCUUGUACACUAUAAACAACAGGAUUGAUGGAAAAGUAGGAUAGGAG
Long non-coding RNA from Cercocebus atys (sooty mangabey), 14187 nucleotides. RefSeq lists it as uncharacterized. The record is from RefSeq and is a predicted model, not a curated record. The transcript has 9 exons. Lineage: Eukaryota; Metazoa; Chordata; Mammalia; Primates; Cercopithecidae.